Molecule: long non-coding RNA, 246 nt
Organism: Galeopterus variegatus (Sunda flying lemur)
Lineage: Eukaryota; Metazoa; Chordata; Mammalia; Dermoptera; Cynocephalidae
Exons: 2
Source: RefSeq, a predicted model, not a curated record
GAUUCAAAGGCCCUAGGAAAAUGUCUGUGAUCAUUCCAGGGAUGAAUAUGAAUCACGAACGGAUCCCAUUUCAGCCACGAAAUAACCCCAAACUGGAGUAUGGCUGAGACUCUUCCUGAGGGGCGCCAUCACUCCGAAACCUCAGGAUGAGUGCAGCUGCAGAGCUGUUGCUGAAGUGUUGACUUGAGUCCGCUUCAUCUGCAGAGAGAAAUGCGGGGCAGUGCAUAAGAAUAAAAAAGCCGGGCU